Blautia sp. CAG:237 is the source of this 88-nucleotide non-coding RNA. NCBI's taxonomy places the organism in Bacteria, Bacillati, Bacillota, Clostridia, Lachnospirales, Lachnospiraceae. The record is from Rfam.
GGAGAUGUACCCAAGUGGCUGAAGGGUCCGCACUCGAAAUGCGGUAGGUCGGGCAACCGGCGCGAGGGUUCAAAUCCCUCCAUCUCCG